UUUAGAUCCCUAGACCUCUUUGACCUUAGCUGGCUUGCAUGCCAAUACUUUUGUUUGUCUUCAUGAUGUUUAGUGAUAGUUGGUUUGUUGUUUCUCUCACAAGGCAUGUGUAUGCUGGUUAAGAAUUCUUAGUCAUAAGCAUAUUGAGAUGCUUAUCAUGGUUCAUCCUACUCUUCAUCUCUUUAUAUUUAUCUUAUAUGCUAAUUAACCCUUUAAGGAUGUCUACAUAGAC
This 232-nucleotide long non-coding RNA is filed under the name Elaeis guineensis (African oil palm). RNAcentral describes it as "long non-coding RNA (EGUI_LNC024670)". Lineage: Eukaryota; Viridiplantae; Streptophyta; Magnoliopsida; Arecales; Arecaceae. The record is from RNAcentral.